The sequence is a ribosomal RNA, 269 nucleotides long. It matches the Rfam family "Bacterial large subunit ribosomal RNA", at positions 1 to 281 of the family's 2925-position model.
GCAAGCAAGGGCAGGCGGUGGAUGCCUAGACACCGAAAGGCGAUGAAGGACGCGGCGUAGCGGCGAUACGCCUCGGGGAGGUGCGUAGCAACCUGUGAUCCGGGGAUUUCCGAAUGGGGAAACCCCUCCCGGCAAACCCGGGAGACCUCGGCGUUAGCUGAGGGGCGAACCCGCCGAAGUGAAACAUCUCAGUAGGCGGAGGAAAAGAGACCAAUAUGGUAUUCCCUGAGUAGCGGCGAGCGAAACGGGAGGUAGCCCAAACCUGCUGC